CCUACGGGAGGCAGCAGUGGGGAAUCUUGCGCAAUGGGCGAAAGCCUGACGCAGCGACGCCGCGUGUGGGAUGACGGCCUUCGAGUUGUAAACCACUGUCGGGAAGGACGAAGCUCUGACGGUACCCACAGAAGAAGCCCCGGCCAACUACGUGCCAGCAGCCGCGGUAAU
RNAcentral lists this ribosomal RNA (171 nucleotides) under uncultured soil bacterium. RNAcentral describes it as "partial 16S ribosomal RNA". It matches the Rfam family "Bacterial small subunit ribosomal RNA", at positions 338 to 524 of the family's 1533-position model. The record is from RNAcentral.